ACGGAAGGCAGCAGUGGGGAAUAUUGCACAAUGGGCGAAAGCCUGAUGCAGCGACGCCGCGUGAGUGAAGAAGUAUCUCGGUAUGUAAAGCUCUAUCAGCAGGGAAGAAAAUGACGGUACCUGACUAAGAAGCCCCGGCUAACUACGUGCCAGCAGCCGCGGUAAUACGUAGGGGGCAAGCGUUAUCCGGAUUUACUGGGUGUAAAGGGAGCGUAGACGGUUUGGCAAGUCUGAAGUGAAAUGCGGGGGCUCAACUCCUGAACUGCUUUGGAAACUGUCGAACUAGAGUGCAGGAGAGGUAAGUGGAAUUCCUAGUGUAGCGGUGAAAUGCGUAGAUAUUAGGAGGAACACCAGUGGCGAAGGCGGCUUACUGGACUGUAACUGACGUUGAGGCUCGAAAGCGUGGGGAGCAAACAGGAUUAGAUACCCUGAUA
RNAcentral lists this ribosomal RNA (434 nucleotides) under uncultured Lachnospiraceae bacterium. RNAcentral's name for it is "partial 16S ribosomal RNA". It matches the Rfam family "Bacterial small subunit ribosomal RNA", at positions 341 to 792 of the family's 1533-position model. Lineage: Bacteria; Bacillati; Bacillota; Clostridia; Lachnospirales; Lachnospiraceae. The record is from RNAcentral.